This 253-nucleotide ribosomal RNA is filed under the name uncultured bacterium. RNAcentral describes it as "partial 16S ribosomal RNA". It matches the Rfam family "Bacterial small subunit ribosomal RNA", at positions 524 to 776 of the family's 1533-position model. The record is from RNAcentral.
UACGUAGGGGGCAAGCGUUGUCCGGAAUCAUUGGGCGUAAAGCGUACGUAGGCGGCUUUGUAAGUUAGAGGUGAAAGCCCAGGGCUCAACCCUGGAACUGCCUUUAAGACUGCAGAGCUUGAAUCGCGGAGAGGUGAGUGGAAUUCCGAGUGUAGAGGUGAAAUUCGUAGAUAUUCGGAAGAACACCAGUGGCGAAGGCGGCUCACUGGACGCGUAUUGACGCUGAGGUACGAAAGCGUGGGGAGCAAACAGG